RNAcentral lists this long non-coding RNA (1867 nucleotides) under Arachis ipaensis. Its description in RNAcentral is "long non-coding RNA (AIPA_LNC001612)". The record is from RNAcentral. Lineage: Eukaryota; Viridiplantae; Streptophyta; Magnoliopsida; Fabales; Fabaceae.
AAUGGAUUCGGAGCCAUAGCUUCUAUUGUUUUCAAAUCCAGCUUCAACAACUCCUUCAAAGCUUUCUUGCUUCUCAUCUUGGCAACCAUGACACUAGAAACACUUUCCAAAAACAGGUUAGACUUUUUUUUCACAAGAAUGUGAGACUCAUGAAUCAGAAUUUAUAGGAUGUGCUUUAUUUAGAGUUUAAGAUAUGAUAAAAUUAAAUACUUUCUGUUUUUAAAAAUCAAUUAAGGAAGAUUUUGAUUAAUUUUAACCUGUGUAAGUUUAAUUUAAGAUAUGAUAUGAUAUGAUAAGAUACUGUUUCAAAAUAAUUAACUGGAUACAACACAAGUUUUCACUCCACUUUGUUUAUGUUGUUUCCAAAUUUGUUUUCGUUCAAGUUUAACUGGAUAGUGGAUACACACAGUUUUAACUUUUAAUUGAAUGUUAGAUAUGAUUUUAAUUUUGAUUUGAAAAUUUUUAAGGUUUUAACUGAUUUUUCCACCCAAGCAUUUUUCUAUCACUUAACUGAUUUUUUUUCCACGUAAAAAAAAGAAACAGAUUUUCUGUUAUUUCCCUUUUUUUGUUCUCUCGUCUUUUUGUUGUUUCCAAGUUGGUUUUCAUUCAAGUUUAACGAUGUUCGUAGUUUUGAUUUUGACUUGUUUGCAAGACCAGAGGAAGCCAUGUCUGUUUUAAUGACUCUUUUAGUAGUUUGAACUAAAAUUUAAAAUUUGAAUUUAUAUUUUAUAUUAUAUUUUAUUUAAAUUUAAAUUAAGAUAAUUCUGUAUUUAUAUUUGUGUUUUAAAAUUAAUAAAUGAUAAAAUAAAUAAAAAUUGUGUUCUUCAUUUGAGAAAAUUUAGAUAAGCUCUUUUUUUUUCUGAAAAAAAAAAGAAAAAGUUUUGGAGAACUAAUUCCUCAUUUUUUAAUAUCUUGACUUUGUGUUGAUUUCCAAUCUUUUAUACAGAGACUAGUAUUUAAACAAAGUUUCUACUACACUUUUUUUUUUAGUGUUUCCUGUUAGUUGAUGUGUGUAUCAUUUCUAUUCGUGUGUUGUGCAGACUGGACUAUUUGUAUAUGACAUUUUCUGGGUUUUUUUCACUCCAGUGAUGGUUAGCGGUUAGCGUUGCUAAAUCAUUUGAUGCUCUGAAAAAGGUUAAAGUCUUAUCUGAGUGAAUUGAGUUUAUUUUCUCCUCCUUUAUAUGAAGUUAAAUAAUAUACCUUAUACAAUAUCUUCCUAAUAUUGAUCAUUCCAAUUAUUUUUCAGCUUUUGUCACCCCACAGCAGAUUCUACCCGUCCAUUUUCAAUGCUUGGCCUUGGUGACAUUGUCAUCCCUGGUAGGCUGACUUGUUAAGUUAUUAAUUAUGAACAUGACUAUAGAUACAUUGAUUAUACAAGAUUUUCAUCAAGUUAGAUUAAUUUUCAUGUCAUUUGAGGCAUAAGAUAUGAUAAACAUUUCAAAGCUAAUGUUAUAACUUAAAAAGAUGUUACAUUAUCCUCUCCCGUUGGAUCAACAACGAAGCAAGCAUUACAAAGAGUGGUACUCAACUAAUGCAAGCCCUUUAAUUUUUACAUAAAGUUAAUAGUUGAGAAUCAUUAAAUAAUUUAAUAUAUUUGGUUAAAUUAUCAUUUAACGAUUUUCAACUAUCAAUACUACAUAAAAACAACAGUACGUGCAUUUCUACCUUUAAAUUAAUCUAAAGAGUUAGAAACUUUAAUAUUCAUUCAUUCAUUGAUAAUCAUAUCCAACUAAAUGCAAUCGGACUAACAACCUUAUGCUGUCCAUCUGACCAUUUCAGAUAAGCAAAGCUAUUUGUGCCCAGAGCUACUGAAUUAGAAGAUGUGAAUGUCACAGUGUAGUUCUUCUUCUCAAACAAUUCAGUGAAG